UCCGAGUUGACCCCGGCAGUCUCCUAUGAGUCCCCACCAUUACGUGCUGGCAACAUAGAACGAGGGUUGCGCUCGUUGCGGGACUUAACCCAACAUCUCACGACACGAGCUGACGACAACCAUGCACCACCUGUGCACGACCCUUGCGGACCUUCCAUCUCUGAAAGAUUUCCGUGCAUGUCAAACCCAGGUAAGGUUCUUCGCGUUGCAUCGAAUUAAUCCGCAUGCUCCGCCGCUUGUGCGGGCCCCCGUCAAUUCCUUUGAGUUUUAGCCUCGCGGCCGUACUCCCCAGGCGGGGCGCUUAAUGCGUUAGCUACGGCACGGACGGAGUCGACACCGCCCACACCUAGCAUCCAUCGUUUACGGCGUGGACUAC
This 376-nucleotide unclassified non-coding RNA is filed under the name uncultured Actinomycetes bacterium. RNAcentral describes it as "uncultured actinobacterium contains 16S-23S intergenic spacer region". The record is from RNAcentral. Lineage: Bacteria; Bacillati; Actinomycetota; Actinomycetes.